Molecule: long non-coding RNA, 1009 nt
Organism: Bombus impatiens (common eastern bumble bee)
Lineage: Eukaryota; Metazoa; Arthropoda; Insecta; Hymenoptera; Apidae
Exons: 3
Source: RefSeq, a predicted model, not a curated record
CCAAUAUUACUUAAAAUUAUAUUAGAUGUCGCUCUUCGAAUAUAAAGCGAAAAAUUUAUCUGGAAAUUUUUGCACGCCACUGUAGCUUGAAGGAAAAUAGAAAAAGAAGAGACAGGAAAGUUGGUAACCUAUACUCGUCGAUUUUUAUUCAGAUCGUUUCGAGACGUUGGAUGACAAGUCGUAGAACUUUUAUUUUUCGAUAAAAGAGUGCAGCCAAUCCUCGCUUCUACCUUGGAAAUCGAUUUUAUAUCCGAUAUGAAGUCGAUAGACGUGCCAUUCUUCGUUAACGAUAGAAAAAGAGAAUAACGCAUUUUUAUGCUUGGAAUUUAAAAUCGCACGAGAAUAAUUAAGUGAAAUCGGUUAAUACUGUACAAUUUCGAUUUUUUCUUAGACCACGGUACAUCGAACGUGGCUAUUCAAAGGGUACAAUAUUAUUUAAAAAAUCGUCGUACGCAACUUUAUGUACCUUCAAUUCCAUACAUUAUAACUAAACUCAAAGCUAACCUAAAACUAACUAUAUAACUUGUUCAUUUUUAUUUGAAAAUUCGUUUAGUGUGUGAUCAAGUGACAGUGUAGAUAUUUAAAAAGAUAAAAUGUCACGGAAGAAGAUAUUGCGAACAAUUCCGAGUGAUUCUAACCUUACUGAACCUAAACCUAAACCUAACCUAAAACUCGUGUUAUAUUUUGUCAUUUCUAUCUGGAAACUCGUUUAAUGGUCCAGCAGGUGUCAGUAUCGAUAUUUAGAAAAUCAAUUUAGGAAUUAUUAAAAAAAGUGUUAAAAUUCAUUCAAUACGGAAGCAAGCAUCAGCAGCGGUGAUAAAUCUUUGUAAAGAAUAAAGAGCGUGAACACAUUCCAACAAGUUUUUUCUCUUUAUCCGACAGCGAGCCAAAUGGCCACCAUUUGCUGUUUACUUUCUAACACUCAAUCUGCAGAAUUGUUUGCAACAAUUUUCUCAUAAUAUUCUACCCCUUUAAAUAACCCUUUUUAUACAGGGUGAUUGGUAACUGG